RNAcentral lists this ribosomal RNA (484 nucleotides) under uncultured bacterium. Its description in RNAcentral is "partial 16S ribosomal RNA". It matches the Rfam family "Bacterial small subunit ribosomal RNA", at positions 30 to 507 of the family's 1533-position model. The record is from RNAcentral.
AUUGAACGCUGGCGGCAGGCCUAACACAUGCAAGUCGAGCGGAUGAAGGGAGCUUGCUCCUGGAUUCAGCGGCGGACGGGUGAGUAAUGCCUAGGAAUCUGCCUGUUAGUGGGGGAUUACGUCCGGAAACGGGCGCUUAUACCGCAUACGUCCUGAGUGAGAAAGUGGGGGAUCUUCGGACCUCACUCUAUCAGAUGAGCCUAGGUCGGAUUAGCUAGUUGGUGGGGUAAAGGCCUACCAAGGCGACGAUCCGUAACUGGUCUGAGAGGAUGAUCAGUCACACUGGAACUGAGACACGGUCCAGACUCCUACGGGAGGCAGCAGUGGGGAAUAUUGGACAAUGGGCGAAAGCCUGAUCCAGCCAUGCCGCGUGUGUGAAGAAGGUCUUCGGAUUGUAAAGCACUUUAAGUUGGGAGGAAGGGCAGUAAGUUAAUACCUUGCUGUUUUGACGUUACCAACAGAAUAAGCACCGGCUAACUUCGUG